This 253-nucleotide ribosomal RNA is filed under the name uncultured bacterium. RNAcentral's name for it is "partial 16S ribosomal RNA". It matches the Rfam family "Bacterial small subunit ribosomal RNA", at positions 524 to 776 of the family's 1533-position model. The record is from RNAcentral.
UACGUAGGGGGCAAGCGUUGUCCGGAAUCAUUGGGCGUAAAGCGCGUGUAGGCGGCUCGAUAAGUCUGCUGUGAAAGUCCAGGGCUCAACCCUGGAAUGCCGGUGGAAACUGUCGAGCUAGAGUCCGGAAGAGGCGAGUGGAAUUCCUGGUGUAGCGGUGAAAUGCGUAGGUAUCGGAAGGAACACCUGUGGCGAAAGCGGCUCACUGGACCAUUACUGACGCUGAUGCACGAAAGCUAGGGGAGCAAACAGG